GAUGAACGCUAGCGGCAGGCUUAAUACAUGCAAGUCGUGGGGCAGCACAGUGUAGCAAUACAUGGGUGGCGACCGGCAAACGGGUGCGUAACACGUACGCAACCUUCCUUUAGGCGGGGAAUAGCCCAGAGAAAUUUGGAUUAAUACCCCAUAAAAUUUUGAGAUGGCAUCAUCUUAUUAUUAAAGCUUCGGCACCUGAAGAUGGGCGUGCGGCUGAUUAGGUAGUUGGCGGGGUAACGGCCCACCAAGCCUUCGAUCAGUAGCUGAUGUGAGAGCAUGAUCAGCCACACGGGCACUGAGACACGGGCCCGACUCCUACGGGAGGCAGCAGUAAGGAAUAUUGGUCAAUGGGCGAAAGCCUGAACCAGCCAUGCCGCGUGGAGGAUGAAGGUCCUCUGGAUUGUAAACUUCUUUUAUCUGGGACGAAAAAGGGUUUCUAACUCGUCUGACGGUACCAGAUGAAUAAGCACCGGCUAACUCCGUGCCAGCGGCCGAC
Molecule: ribosomal RNA, 496 nt
Filed under: uncultured bacterium
Lineage: Bacteria
Description: bacterial SSU rRNA
Rfam family: Bacterial small subunit ribosomal RNA
Source: RNAcentral